This 1346-nucleotide ribosomal RNA is filed under the name uncultured bacterium. RNAcentral's name for it is "bacterial SSU rRNA". It matches the Rfam family "Bacterial small subunit ribosomal RNA", at positions 28 to 1381 of the family's 1533-position model. The record is from RNAcentral.
GACGAACGCUGGCGGCGUGCUUAACACAUGCAAGUCGAACGGAAAGGCCCUGCUUUUGUGGGGUGCUCGAGUGGCGAACGGGUGAGUAACACGUGAGUAACCUGCCCUUGACUUUGGGAUAACUUCAGGAAACUGGGGCUAAUACCGGAUAGGAGCUCCUGCUGCAUGGUGGGGGUUGGAAAGUUUCGGCGGUUGGGGAUGGACUCGCGGCUUAUCAGCUUGUUGGUGGGGUAGUGGCUUACCAAGGCUUUGACGGGUAGCCGGCCUGAGAGGGUGACCGGCCACAUUGGGACUGAGAUACGGCCCAGACUCCUACGGGAGGCAGCAGUGGGGAAUAUUGCACAAUGGGCGGAAGCCUGAUGCAGCAACGCCGCGUGCGGGAUGACGGCCUUCGGGUUGUAAACCGCUUUCGCCUGUGACGAAGCGUGAGUGACGGUAAUGGGUAAAGAAGCACCGGCUAACUACGUGCCAGCAGCCGCGGUGAUACGUAAGGUGCGAGCGUUGUCCGGAUUUAUUGGGCGUAAAGGGCUCGUAGGUGGUUGAUCGCGUCGGAAGUGUAAUCUUGGGGCUUAACCCUGAGCGUGCUUUCGAUACGGGUUGACUUGAGGAAGGUAGGGGAGAAUGGAAUUCCUGGUGGAGCGGUGGAAUGCGCAGAUAUCAGGAGGAACACCAGUGGCGAAGGCGGUUCUCUGGGCCUUUCCUGACGCUGAGGAGCGAAAGCGUGGGGAGCGAACAGGCUUAGAUACCCUGGUAGUCCACGCUGUAAACGGUGGGUACUAGGUGUGGGGUCCAUUCCACGGGUUCCGUGCCGUAGCUAACGCUUUAAGUACCCCGCCUGGGGAGUACGGCCGCAAGGCUAAAACUCAAAGGAAUUGACGGGGCCCCGCACAAGCGGCGGAGCAUGCGGAUUAAUUCGAUGCAACGCGUAGAACCUUACCUGGGUUUGACAUGGAUCGGGAGCGCUCAGAGAUGGGUGUGCCUCUUUUGGGGUCGGUUCACAGGUGGUGCAUGGCUGUCGUCAGCUCGUGUCGUGAGAUGUUGGGUUAAGUCCCGCAACGAGCGCAACCCUUGUUCACUGUUGCCAGCACGUUAUGGUGGGGACUCAGUGGAGACCGCCGGGGUCAACUCGGAGGAAGGUGGGGAUGACGUCAAGUCAUCAUGCCCCUUAUGUCCAGGGCUUCACGCAUGCUACAAUGGCUGGUACAGAGAGUGGCGAGCCUGUGAGGGUGAGCGAAUCUCGGAAAGCCGGUCUCAGUUCGGAUUGGGGUCUGCAACUCGACCUCAUGAAGUCGGAGUCGCUAGUAAUCGCAGAUCAGCAACGCUGCGGUGAAUACGUUCCCGGGGCU